CAGCCGCGGAAUUCCAGCUCCAAUAGCGUAUAUUAAAGUUGUUGCAGUUAAAAAGCUCGUAGUUGAAUUUUGGGAUCAAUAUGUUGGUCGUGCCUUUGGUACGUACUAGCUUAUUGAUUUCUCCCUUCUGACGAACCAUGCUGUCAUUAAUUUGGUGUCAUGGGGAAUCAGGACUGUUACUUUGAAAAAAUUAGAGUGUUUAAAGCAGGCUUACGCUUGAAUAUAUUAGCAUGGAAUAAUGAAAUAGGACGUUUUGAUUCUAUUUUGUUGGUUUCUAGGAUCGACGUAAUGAUUAAUAGGGAUAGUUGGGGGCAUUAGUAUUCAAUUGUCAGAGGUGAAAUUCUUGGAUUUAUUGAAGACUAACUACUGCGAAAGCAUUUGCCAAGGAUGUUUUCAUUAAUCAAGAACGAAAGUUAGGGGAUCGAAGACGAUCAGAUACCGUCGUAGUCUUAACCAUAAACUAUGCCGACUAGGGAUCGGAUGAUGUUAAUUUUUUAAUGACUCAUUCGGCGCCUUACG
RNAcentral lists this unclassified non-coding RNA (519 nucleotides) under uncultured Glomeromycotina. RNAcentral describes it as "SSU rRNA". It matches the Rfam family "Eukaryotic small subunit ribosomal RNA", at positions 571 to 1092 of the family's 1831-position model. Lineage: Eukaryota; Fungi; Glomeromycota. The record is from RNAcentral.